This is a non-coding RNA of Cyanistes caeruleus (blue tit), 443 nucleotides long. NCBI's taxonomy places the organism in Eukaryota, Metazoa, Chordata, Aves, Passeriformes, Paridae. The record is from RefSeq and is a predicted model, not a curated record.
GGACACGGAGCUGUCCCUGAGCCAGCAGUGUCCUGGGGCCAAGGGGCCAUGGGGAAGAGCCUUUGCAGCAGAGGGAUUACAAAAUGAAGAUUUCCCUGAAGCAGGGAUCUGCAUUUUGGAUCAGCUCAAGACCUCAUACUGGUGGUUUUUUAGAGAACUUUGAACAUCUGGAAGAUGAGAACUAGAGAACAUCUGGAAUGAAAUAGGACUAGAGGAAGAGUCUGGACAUGGAUCUGAAUCCUGGCCUAUGAAUGUUUUUCUCCUAGACCUCAAGGGGCAGAAAUCUCUGCUGUAAUUCCAGCUCUAGGAAGCUGACAGGGUUCAGAAAAGAAAAUCUGAUUGCUGCACCUGCAAAGCAUCCAUCCAUUCCAGGAUCAAAGUCAAGGACUACAAAAAAUGCCAAAGCAAUAACUAUAAAUUACAUACUUCAUAUAUGUAAUUCA